GGGGGUGAUUUGUCUCGACAGUAAUUUGACAAAAAUAUGCAAGCUGAGUUCUUGUUCUCAUUAAAAACAAAAACAAAAACAACUGGAAAUUCAUUCAGUCAAAAAGAGCUAGCUUACGCUUAAGCUCCAUCUAGUCUGAUUAUUCUCGCUAGGCAGAAACUAGGUGUUAUAUCUUGCGAGAGUAGAUAAUGUUAGCGAUUUAGAUAACAUUAUUGAAACUACUUCUAAAUCUAGCAUUAAAGGUUUUUUCUAAAUUCAAACUUUAAUGCAAAAACAAUAAUUUAGAAUAAGCUUGUAGAAUUAUUUUUGAAUAUAGUUUCUGGACGCGAGUUCAAAACUCGCCACCUCCACCA
Molecule: transfer-messenger RNA, 353 nt
Filed under: Patescibacteria group bacterium
Lineage: Bacteria
Also listed under: 3 other names
Rfam family: transfer-messenger RNA
About the family: Bacterial tmRNA, also known as 10Sa RNA or SsrA, is named for its dual tRNA and mRNA-like properties.
Source: RNAcentral